AACGAACGCUGGCGGCAUGCCUAACACAUGCAGGUCGAACGAGACCUUCGGGUCUAGUGGCGCACGGGUGCGUAACGCGUGGGAACCUGCCCUUAGGUUCGGAAUAACUCCCCGAAAGGGGUGCUAAUACCGGAUAAUGUCUUCGGACCAAAGAUUUAUCGCCUUUGGAUGGGCCCGCGUUGGAUUAGCUAGUUGGUAGGGUAAAAGCCUACCAAGGCGACGAUCCAUAGCUGGUCUGAGAGGAUGAUCAGCCACACUGGGACUGAGACACGGCCCAGACUCCUACGGGAGGCAGCAGGGGGGAAUAUUGGACAAUGGGCGAAAGCCUGAUCCAGCAAUGCCGCGUGAGUGAUGAAGGCCUUAGGGUUGUAAAGCUCUUUUACCCGGGAUGAUAAUGACAGUACCGGGAGAAUAAGCUCCGGCUAACUCCGUG
This 433-nucleotide ribosomal RNA is filed under the name uncultured bacterium. RNAcentral describes it as "partial 16S ribosomal RNA". It matches the Rfam family "Bacterial small subunit ribosomal RNA", at positions 29 to 507 of the family's 1533-position model. The record is from RNAcentral.